This 552-nucleotide unclassified non-coding RNA is filed under the name Hevea brasiliensis (rubber tree). Lineage: Eukaryota; Viridiplantae; Streptophyta; Magnoliopsida; Malpighiales; Euphorbiaceae. The record is from RNAcentral.
ACUAUUCACCCUGUAUUUUCCAUAUUAUCUCUGCGUAUUUGUACCUGUACCAUUUUAAAACUUGUUUAACAAUUUUGUAUCGCUGCCCAGAAAUGUAUACCAAUGUAUAUGGGUUCCUAUGUACAUAUCUUUUGCAUUUUUCCGUAUUUUAUCUGAAAUCGGCGUCUCUAUAGGUUAACCUGCAAUUCAUAUUUAUUUUUUACACAUAUUUAAGGUAUAAUAUCUCUGUAUAUCAGUGUAUAUAGGCUGUAUAUCAGACUGUUUUUCAACUUUUCAAAAGUUGAAAGUUCCCUUUAGCAACCUAUCUUCACUGAACAAGUCCAGAUUUCGAAUUUGGAUCCACCUGUAUUUUAGACCUGUAUAUCAGUAUAUAACUGUGUAUAAAAUAUGUAUAUUGUUGUAUACAUCUUCUUCAAAUCCCUGCAAAAUAAUUUCCAGCCACUUUUCCAGCACUGCAUUUAUGCUGUUUCGACCUGCAAAUCAGCUUUGGCCUUCUAGACUUUUGAAAAUGGAUGACUCGAGGAUUUGCAACUCGUAGGAAUGUGAGAAUGG